AUGAACAUGCUAGGUGAAGAUCCGCCAAAUAAUGUGAAGCUGCGACAGGCCAGCAGCGGGUUUUGCAGGCUGUGGGACGUGGAGUUGGUGAUCAAGAAGGGCCACAUGUACUUGUGUCGUGGCUGGGAGAAGUUCUACCGUGCCUACGACCUACGGUUGGGGUACUUCCUUCUCUUCAGGUACGACGACGACGCCACCAUGCUCAUCGUGAAGGUGUUCAACGCGACUAUGUGUCGCAUGCACUACGCUAACGACGAUGAUGCCAGCAAUGGGAGCAGUAGCAGCGACACUGGCUACAGCCAAAGCAGCAGCGACACUGACUACAGCGAAAGCAGCAGCGAUUCUGGCUGCAACAAAGACAACAAGGAGGAUGAUCCGGAUUGGAGUGGCGGGGAAGAAGAGGAGCAGAGUGGGCAUCAGGUUGAGGAUGACCUAGCGAUGGUGGUGGCUGACCAAGGGCAGGAGAUGGUGGUGUCUGACCAUGGGCAAGAGUUGGUGGUGGCUGAGGAUGACCUAGCGAUGGUCGUGCCUGUUCUGCCUGAAGAUGGCCUCGCGAUGGUGGUGGUGCCUAACAAUGACCUCGCGCCGGUGGUGGCGUCGGCGAUCCCACAACUGGGUGACAUGACCACGCCAAUUGUGGUAGAAGACUACAUCCCACUGCCUCCACCGCCUUGCCGCUCUUGGCGCAUCAGGCCGAGCAAGGAGAAGGAGAAGAACAAUGAGAACUGA
RNAcentral lists this ribosomal RNA (729 nucleotides) under Triticum aestivum (bread wheat). RNAcentral describes it as "partial small subunit ribosomal RNA". Lineage: Eukaryota; Viridiplantae; Streptophyta; Magnoliopsida; Poales; Poaceae. The record is from RNAcentral.